GCGGCCGACUACCGGCGCCGUGUCCCGUCCUUCGUGUGGCUUAUGUUACUGAUGCCUUUGAAGUGCUUGCGUGCCGGUACCCGUCUAACGGGAAGUGAUGCCUCACAUACGGUUGCCUCGCGGUGGACGCCUUCGGGUGUGCUACUGUGGCCAUAUGGCGCUUGCGGCGUCGCCUCGUGGUGCCGGUCAUGUACAAGUGCCGGUGCUAUCAAGGUAGCCUCGCUCUCGCUGUUGGUCUCGGAUGUUGCUCACGAUAAAGGUUCAUGGCCCUUUUUGUUGCCUCGACCCGACCCUAAGCUGCUCUCCGAAUUGAGAACAACCGGAACAGGUGUUGCCUCUACCUCUCCACAGUUAGUGGUAGGAUACGCAACAUUCUGCGCCGAUCCUCAAACAAGUAGGACGAGCUUAGCCCGCUCAACUGCGACAACCGGCCCGGGUGUUGCCUCCGCCUUGCCAUAUUUGUGGAUUGGCGGACAACUUCCGACGUWGGACGUCAAUGAGGACGUGCUACCUGGUUGAUCCUGCCAGU
RNAcentral lists this unclassified non-coding RNA (529 nucleotides) under Antinoria insularis. Its description in RNAcentral is "contains 3' external transcribed spacer, ETS". Lineage: Eukaryota; Viridiplantae; Streptophyta; Magnoliopsida; Poales; Poaceae. The record is from RNAcentral.